AUUGAACGCUGGCGGCAGGCCUAACACAUGCAAGUCGAGCGGUAGCACAGAGAACUUGCUCUCGGGUGACGAGCGGCGGACGGGUGAGUAAUGUCUGGGAAACUGCCUGAUGGAGGGGGAUAACUACUGGAAACGGUAGCUAAUACCGCAUAACGUCGCAAGACCAAAGUGGGGGACCUUCGGGCCUCAUGCCAUCAGAUGUGCCCAGAUGGGAUUAGCUGGUAGGUGGGGUAACGGCUCACCUAGGCGACGAUCCCUAGCUGGUCUGAGAGGAUGACCAGCCACACUGGAACUGAGACACGGUCCAGACUCCUACGGGAGGCAGCAGUGGGGAAUAUUGCACAAUGGGCGCAAGCCUGAUGCAGCCAUGCCGCGUGUGUGAAGAAGGCCUUCGGGUUGUAAAGCACUUUCAGCGGGGAGGAAGGCAUUAAGGUUAAUAACCUUAGUGAUUGACGUUACCUGCAGAAGAAGCACCGGCUAACUCCGUGCCAGCCGCCGCAGUAA
Molecule: ribosomal RNA, 504 nt
Filed under: uncultured bacterium
Lineage: Bacteria
Description: partial 16S ribosomal RNA
Rfam family: Bacterial small subunit ribosomal RNA
Source: RNAcentral